CCUCGGUGAAUACGUUCCCGGGCCUUGUACACACCGCCCGUCAAGCCAUGGAAGCUGGGUGUACCUAAAGUCGGUAACCGCAAGGAGCCGCCUAGGGUAAAACUAGUAACUGGGGCU
This 117-nucleotide ribosomal RNA is filed under the name uncultured bacterium. RNAcentral's name for it is "partial 16S ribosomal RNA". It matches the Rfam family "Bacterial small subunit ribosomal RNA", at positions 1357 to 1482 of the family's 1533-position model. The record is from RNAcentral.